This 58-nucleotide transfer RNA is filed under the name Salmo salar (Atlantic salmon). It matches the Rfam family "tRNA", at positions 8 to 63 of the family's 71-position model. Rfam says of the family: Transfer RNA (tRNA) molecules are approximately 80 nucleotides in length. Their secondary structure includes four short double-helical elements and three loops (D, anti-codon, and T loops). Lineage: Eukaryota; Metazoa; Chordata; Actinopteri; Salmoniformes; Salmonidae. The record is from Rfam by way of RNAcentral.
UGGCUCGGUUGGUAGAGCAUGGUGUCUUCAACACCAGGCUCGUGGGUUCAAUUCCCGC